AAUUCAAUUACAGGUGUACGAUUUCUUUAGCAUUGUAGAAGUUCAUACUUUAUACAUAAUGCUUUUUUGUUGUCUCUAGUAUAUAGUGUAGAUAGUUUUACCCUUUUUUUGCUUCUAGAUUUUACCAGGAUAGCAGAAAGGUCCAGAUUCAUGUAUCUCAACUUAGGUAUUCCCCACCACCCACCUUUUACAAGUUCUUUAACACUAGAAAUUCAUAUUGACAGUCAGAACCCUCUUGUUGCUUCUAGUAUACGUAUCUCCCUUAGUUUUACCCUUUCGUUGCUUCUAGAAUGUCAGGAGAGCGAUGAGGCCUAGACAAUCUCGCAGCUUCCAUAUUUCAGACAUCACCUCCAGCACAGGGCAGGUGUUGCGGUACACUGACAGGGUGAGGCUCAACAGGGCCUAGAGAUGGGUGAGCCAGACCUCCAUGGACCUUUGCCAGUCUGCUUCCGCUCCUUCUCAGCUGAACGCCCAGAUGAACGGAGGCUCCUCUGCGACACUUCCAUCUGGUCCACGUCUCCCCACCCACUGGAGGCUGGUUGUGAGGCGCCGGAGAUGGAGAGUCACGAGAGGAUGGAUCGUGUGGAGGCAGCCUUUCAUGAAUACUGGAGAGCCUGUAUGCUGGACCAAAGACCAAAGAGUGGGCUGUGUUAGUCACUCCCAGGGUCAUCAGCAGCUGUCUCCUCCACCUUGUAGUGGCGGUACUCCGGCUUCAGCUCCCACAUAUUGCGGUGAGGGUUCUUAACAUUGUAGUCACACACCUCCUUCAGGAUCUCCUUCAGG
Molecule: long non-coding RNA, 783 nt
Organism: Eriocheir sinensis (Chinese mitten crab)
Lineage: Eukaryota; Metazoa; Arthropoda; Malacostraca; Decapoda; Varunidae
Exons: 3
Source: RefSeq, a predicted model, not a curated record